Schistocerca piceifrons (Central American locust) is the source of this 384-nucleotide long non-coding RNA. RefSeq lists it as uncharacterized. NCBI's taxonomy places the organism in Eukaryota, Metazoa, Arthropoda, Insecta, Orthoptera, Acrididae. The transcript has 3 exons. The record is from RefSeq and is a predicted model, not a curated record.
GUGCAGCACGUAAGGCUUGCGAGAAAAUAACCCAGAAAGAGGCUGGAAAACGUGUGUGGGUGACGAGUGAAUGCAUAUCGGCGACACUAUAUGGAACAGCUCUGUCCCUCUUUUCUUUCGUGCUUUUACGAUUAUUCUUGGAACGUGACGCAUACAACAUGCCAGAACUCAUGAUGGAAACAGAUUACUUGCACUGGGAAUUACCGUUACCUGCCGUAUCCGUUUGCGAAGAAGAUAACAAGGAAGCAAUAGAAAAGUUCGUGCGGAGUUAUUAUAUUGAAGAAGAUGAGGUGAUAAAAGUCUCAUCCUUUUUGGAAAAUCUAGUGCAUCCUAGAGCUAAUUAUUGCAUCAGCUGCAUAGCUUCUUGCAACAGUUGUCCUAAAC